GAAGAACGCUGGCGGCGUGCCUAAUACAUGCAAGUCGAGCGAACGGACGAGAAGCUUGCUUCUCUGAUGUUAGCGGCGGACGGGUGAGUAACACGUGGAUAACCUACCUAUAAGACUGGGAUAACUUCGGGAAACCGGAGCUAAUACCGGAUAAUAUUUUGAACCGCAUGGUUCAAAAGUGAAAGACGGUCUUGCUGUCACUUAUAGAUGGAUCCGCGCUGCAUUAGCUAGUUGGUAAGGUAACGGCUUACCAAGGCAACGAUGCAUAGCCGACCUGAGAGGGUGAUCGGCCACACUGGAACUGAGACACGGUCCAGACUCCUACGGGAGGCAGCAGUAGGGAAUCUUCCGCAAUGGGCGAAAGCCUGACGGAGCAACGCCGCGUGAGUGAUGAAGGUCUUCGGAUCGUAAAACUCUGUUAUUAGGGAAGAACAUAUGUGUAAGUAACUGUGCACAUCUUGACGGUACCUAAUCAGAAAGCCACGGCUAACUACGUGCCAGCAGCCGCGGUAAUACGUAGGUGGCAAGCGUUAUCCGGAAUUAUUGGGCGUAAAGCGCGCGUAGGCGGUUUUUUAAGUCUGAUGUGAAAGCCCACGGCUCAACCGUGGAGGGUCAUUGGAAACUGGAAAACUUGAGUGCAGAAGAGGAAAGUGGAAUUCCAUGUGUAGCGGUGAAAUGCGCAGAGAUAUGGAGGAACACCAGUGGCGAAGGCGACUUUCUGGUCUGUAACUGACGCUGAUGUGCGAAAGCGUGGGGAUCAAACAGGAUUAGAUACCCUGGUAGUCCACGCCGUAAACGAUGAGUGCUAAGUGUUAGGGGGUUUCCGCCCCUUAGUGCUGCAGCUAACGCAUUAAGCACUCCGCCUGGGGAGUACGACCGCAAGGUUGAAACUCAAAGGAAUUGACGGGGACCCGCACAAGCGGUGGAGCAUGUGGUUUAAUUCGAAGCAACGCGAAGAACCUUACCAAAUCUUGACAUCCUUUGACAACUCUAGAGAUAGAGCUUUCCCCUUCGGGGGACAAAGUGACAGGUGGUGCAUGGUUGUCGUCAGCUCGUGUCGUGAGAUGUUGGGUUAAGUCCCGCAACGAGCGCAACCCUUAAGCUUAGUUGCCAUCAUUAAGUUGGGCACUCUAAGUUGACUGCCGGUGACAAACCGGAGGAAGGUGGGGAUGACGUCAAAUCAUCAUGCCCCUUAUGAUUUGGGCUACACACGUGCUACAAUGGACAAUACAAAGGGCAGCGAAACCGCGAGGUCAAGCAAAUCCCAUAAAGUUGUUCUCAGUUCGGAUUGUAGUCUGCAACUCGACUACAUGAAGCUGGAAUCGCCAGUAAUCGUAGAUCAGCAUGCUACGGUGAAUACGUUCCCGGGUCU
RNAcentral lists this ribosomal RNA (1372 nucleotides) under uncultured bacterium. RNAcentral's name for it is "bacterial SSU rRNA". It matches the Rfam family "Bacterial small subunit ribosomal RNA", at positions 28 to 1381 of the family's 1533-position model. The record is from RNAcentral.